UUGACCUCAAAUCAGGUAGGACUACCCGCUGAACUUAAGCAUAUCAAUAAGCGGAGGAAAAGAAACUAACAAGGAUUCCCCUAGUAACUGCGAGUGAAGCGGGAAAAGCUCAAAUUUAAAAUCUGGCGGUCCUCGCGGCCGUCCGAGUUGUAAUCUGGAGAAGCGUUUUCCGCGUCGGACCGUGUACAAGUCUUCUGGAAUGGAGCGUCGUAGAGGGUGAGAAUCCCGUCUCUGACACGGACCGCCGAUGCUUUUGUGAUACGCUCUCGAAGAGUCGAGUUGUUUGGGAAUGCAGCUCAAAACGGGUGGUAAAUUCCAUCUAAAGCUAAAUAUUGGCGAGAGACCGAUAGCGAACAAGUACCGUGAGGGAAAGAUGAAAAGCACUUUGGAAAGAGAGUUAAACAGUACGUGAAAUUGUUGAAAGGGAAACGUUUGAAGUCAGUCGCGUCGGUCGAGACUCAACCUUGCUCUUUUGCUCGGCGCACUUCUCGGCCGACGGGUCAGCAUCAAUUUCGACCGUCGGAUAAAGGCCGAGGGAAUGUGGCAUCUUUCGGGAUGUGUUAUAGCCUUCGGUUCGCAUACGGCGAUCGGGAUUGAGGAACUCAGCGCGCCUUCAUCGGUCGGGGCUUCGGCUCAC
This 637-nucleotide ribosomal RNA is filed under the name uncultured fungus. RNAcentral describes it as "eukaryotic LSU rRNA". It matches the Rfam family "Eukaryotic large subunit ribosomal RNA", at positions 1 to 633 of the family's 3401-position model. Lineage: Eukaryota; Fungi. The record is from RNAcentral.